GGACGAACGCUGGCGGCGUGCUUAACACAUGCAAGUCGAACGGAAAGGCCCUGCUUGCAGGGUACUCGAGUGGUGAACGGGUGAGUAACACGUGGGUGAUCUGCCCUGCACUUCGGGAUAAGCCUGGGAAACUGGGUCUAAUACCGGAUAGGAGCCAUUUUUAGUGUGAUGGUUGGAAAGUUUUUUCGGUGUAGGAUGAGCUCGCGGCCUAUCAGCUUGUUGGUGGGGUAAUGGCCUACCAAGGCGGCGACGGGUAGCCGGCCUGAGAGGGUGGACGGCCACAUUGGGACUGAGAUACGGCCCAGACUCCUACGGGAGGCAGCAGUGGGGAAUAUUGCACAAUGGGCGCAAGCCUGAUGCAGCGACGCCGCGUGGGGGAUGACGGCCUUCGGGUUGUAAACUCCUUUCGCUAGGGACGAAGCUUUUUGUGACGGUACCUAGAUAAGAAGCACCGGCUAACUACGUG
This 466-nucleotide ribosomal RNA is filed under the name uncultured bacterium. RNAcentral describes it as "partial 16S ribosomal RNA". It matches the Rfam family "Bacterial small subunit ribosomal RNA", at positions 27 to 507 of the family's 1533-position model. The record is from RNAcentral.